Molecule: ribosomal RNA, 219 nt
Filed under: uncultured bacterium
Lineage: Bacteria
Description: partial 16S ribosomal RNA
Rfam family: Bacterial small subunit ribosomal RNA
Source: RNAcentral
AAGUCAGAUGUGAAAGACCCGGGGCGUCAACCUCGGAAUUGCAUUUGUAAACUAGGCAAACUAGAGUACUGUAGAGGGGGGUAGGAAUUUCUAGGUGUAGCGGUGAAAUAGCGUAGAGAUCUGAAGGAAUACCGGUGGCGAAGGCGGCCCCCCUCGGACAGAUACUGACACUCAGAUGCGAAAGCGUGGGGAGCAAACAGGAUUAGAUACCCCUGGUAG